Molecule: ribosomal RNA, 789 nt
Filed under: Escherichia coli
Lineage: Bacteria; Pseudomonadati; Pseudomonadota; Gammaproteobacteria; Enterobacterales; Enterobacteriaceae
Description: partial 23S ribosomal RNA
Rfam family: Bacterial large subunit ribosomal RNA
Source: RNAcentral
ACACGUGGUAUCCUGUCUGAAUAUGGGGGGACCAUCCUCCAAGGCUAAAUACUCCUGACUGACCGAUAGUGAACCAGUACCGUGAGGGAAAGGCGAAAAGAACCCCGGCGAGGGGAGUGAAAAAGAACCUGAAACCGUGUACGUACAAGCAGUGGGAGCACGCUUAGGCGUGUGACUGCGUACCUUUUGUAUAAUGGGUCAGCGACUUAUAUUCUGUAGCAAGGUUAACCGAAUAGGGGAGCCGAAGGGAAACCGAGUCUUAACUGGGCGUUAAGUUGCAGGGUAUAGACCCGAAACCCGGUGAUCUAGCCAUGGGCAGGUUGAAGGUUGGGUAACACUAACUGGAGGACCGAACCGACUAAUGUUGAAAAAUUAGCGGAUGACUUGUGGCUGGGGGUGAAAGGCCAAUCAAACCGGGAGAUAGCUGGUUCUCCCCGAAAGCUAUUUAGGUAGCGCCUCGUGAAUUCAUCUCCGGGGGUAGAGCACUGUUUCGGCAAGGGGGUCAUCCCGACUUACCAACCCGAUGCAAACUGCGAAUACCGGAGAAUGUUAUCACGGGAGACACACGGCGGGUGCUAACGUCCGUCGUGAAGAGGGAAACAACCCAGACCGCCAGCUAAGGUCCCAAAGUCAUGGUUAAGUGGGAAACGAUGUGGGAAGGCCCAGACAGCCAGGAUGUUGGCUUAGAAGCAGCCAUCAUUUAAAGAAAGCGUAAUAGCUCACUGGUCGAGUCGGCCUGCGCGGAAGAUGUAACGGGGCUAAACCAUGCACCGAAGCUGCGGCAGCGAC